RNAcentral lists this ribosomal RNA (623 nucleotides) under Akkermansia muciniphila. RNAcentral describes it as "bacterial SSU rRNA". It matches the Rfam family "Bacterial small subunit ribosomal RNA", at positions 36 to 680 of the family's 1533-position model. Lineage: Bacteria; Pseudomonadati; Verrucomicrobiota; Verrucomicrobiia; Verrucomicrobiales; Akkermansiaceae. The record is from RNAcentral.
UNGGCGGCGUGGUUAAGACAUGCAAGUCGAACGAGAGAAUUGCUAGCUUGCUAAUAAUUCUCUAGUGGCGCACGGGUGAGUAACACGUGAGUAACCUGCCCCCGAGAGCGGGAUAGCCCUGGGAAACUGGGAUUAAUACCGCAUAGUAUCGAAAGAUUAAAGCAGCAAUGCGCUUGGGGAUGGGCUCGCGGCCUAUUAGUUAGUUGGUGAGGUAACGGCUCACCAAGGCGAUGACGGGUAGCCGGUCUGAGAGGAUGUCCGGCCACACUGGAACCGAGACACGGUCCAGACACCUACGGGUGGCAGCAGUCGAGAAUCAUUCACAAUGGGGGAAACCCUGAUGGUGCGACGCCGCGUGGGGGAAUGAAGGUCUUCGGAUUGUAAACCCCUGUCAUGUGGGAGCAAAUUAAAAAGAUAGUACCACAAGAGGAAGAGACGGCUAACUCUGUACCAGCAGCCGCGGUAAUACAGAGGUCUCAAGCGUUGUUCGGAAUCACUGGGCGUAAAGCGUGCGUAGGCUGUUUCGUAAGUCGUGUGUGAAAGGCGCGGGCUCAACCCGCGGACGGCACAUGAUACUGCGAGACUAGAGUAAUGGAGGGGGAACCGGAAUUCACGGUGUAGCA